Non-coding RNA from Cyanistes caeruleus (blue tit), 483 nucleotides. The record is from RefSeq and is a predicted model, not a curated record. NCBI's taxonomy places the organism in Eukaryota, Metazoa, Chordata, Aves, Passeriformes, Paridae.
GAGUGCCAGCCCGCCUUCGAGGUGCCCUACUACAACCGCGGGCUGGUGCGCUACCGGCUGGGAGACUUUGAUGAGGCCAUAAAAGAUUUCAGGAAAGUAUUAGAGUUAAACCCCCAGUUUGAAGAUGCUGCAUUGAGUCUAAAACAGGCUAUUCUUGAUAAAGAAGAAAAACAGAAGCGGGGUUAUUGAAAAUUCAGUGAUGCGAUUCCCAUAAACGUGAUUUUUGUCAUCGAUGGAUAAAACCCAAGAUCAUUUACAUCUGUUAUGACCUGUGGAAGCACUUCAUUCUUAGAUAAAUAAGUUAAAAAUUGGUUAUGAUUGCAAAAGAAACUGGAUUUGGGGUUUUUGUUCUUGAGGGAAUGUGUAAUGUUGAUCUCUGUGAGACACAUCUACAGAUUUUGUACAGAAAUACUUUGUAAUUCUAUAAUGAAUAUUUUGGCCAGAUUAAUUGACAAUAAAAGUGAAAAUGUACUUUUUAUCUCA